This is a non-coding RNA of Podarcis lilfordi (Lilford's wall lizard), 259 nucleotides long. NCBI's taxonomy places the organism in Eukaryota, Metazoa, Chordata, Lepidosauria, Squamata, Lacertidae. The record is from the annotation of a GenBank genome assembly.
GGAUCCAAGAACUGUUUGGCUACGGUACCUGUUAUCACAUGGAUUUCUAGAUUCGAUUCAGCUGAACUGGUUGGCAUGGCAGGUCUUUCCCACUUCACUCUGUUCUGAAGAGCUUGAGCAUCCCAGGUAGAAAAAAAACUACAGUUUAUGAUAGCUAUGCUUUCCUGCCAGGGCCUCCAAAGCAGCUCAAGGUCCAUUUGUAAGGGGUGGGGAGGAAGACAUGCAGGAAGUGGGGGCCUUAUGGGCCUAUCUACACAGU